This 465-nucleotide ribosomal RNA is filed under the name uncultured bacterium. Its description in RNAcentral is "partial 16S ribosomal RNA". It matches the Rfam family "Bacterial small subunit ribosomal RNA", at positions 338 to 795 of the family's 1533-position model. The record is from RNAcentral.
CCUACGGGUGGCAGCAGUGGGGAAUAUUGCACAAUGGGCGCAAGCCUGAUGCAGCCAUGCCGCGUGUAUGAAGAAGGCCUUCGGGUUGUCAAGUACUUUUAGCGGGGAGGAAGGGAGUAAAGUUAAUACCUUUGCUCAUUGACGUUACCCGCAGAAGAAGCACCGGAUAACUCCGUGCCAGCAGCCGCGGUAAUACGGAGGGUGCAAGCGUUAAUCGGAUUUACUGGGUGGAAAGAGAAAGCAGGUGGAUUGUUAAGUCAGAUGUGAAAGUUUGGGGCUCAACCGGAGAAUUGCAGCUGAUACUGGCAGUCUUGAGUACAGUAGAGGUGGGUGGAAUUCGAGGUGUAGCGGUGAAAUGCUUAGAGAUCUCGAAGAAUUCCGAUGGCGAAGGCAGCCCCCUGGACGGAAACUGACACUGAGGUUCGAAAGCGUGGGUAUCAAACAGGAUUAGAUACCCUAGUAGUC